Long non-coding RNA from Heterocephalus glaber (naked mole-rat), 502 nucleotides. RefSeq lists it as uncharacterized. The record is from RefSeq and is a predicted model, not a curated record. NCBI's taxonomy places the organism in Eukaryota, Metazoa, Chordata, Mammalia, Rodentia, Bathyergidae.
GCGCCUUUUUUUUUUUUUUGGGUCUUAAUCAUGUGGACAUCAUUGGGAAUGGGGGGAACUAAGUGACUGUAUGGUGGCUGCUUUGUAAGUUUCAAAGCAACAACAGCAGCUGUGCCUGAGCCCGUGCAUGCCUUGGGGCCAGUCACAGCACAGUUCCUGAGAAGGUGGAGCCCUCAGCUUCUCCCUGAAUAACUGGGAGAUGAAACAGGAAGCUCUGUGACACACUUGAUCGAAAAUGACACAGAUCGAAAAAUCAGGAUUUGACCCCCACCUCCAGCACCUUUACCUGCUGCCAGCAGAUCACAGCUGGAAAGCAGGCGAAGGGUUUGCCCUGGGACCAAAUUCUAACCACCAUGGAUUCUUGAGGGCCUCUGCACUCACUGGUGAUGUGUCUGCGAUAUUUUGGUCACUGUCAACUCUGGUCAGUUUCCUAUUUAUCUGGUCAGUGUCUUGUGUCUUACUCCUUUCUCCUUCAUUAAAAGCAAAACUAAAGAAAACUGAA